AUAUCAAUAAGCGGAGGAAAAGAAACCAACAGGGAUUGCCUCAGUAACGGCGAGUGAAGCGGCAACAGCUCAAAUUUGAAAUCUGGUCCUUUCAGGGCCCGAGUUGUAAUUUGGAGAGGAUGCUUCGGCUGCGGCCCUGGUCUAAGUUCCUUGGAACAGGACGUCACAGAGGGUGAGAACCCCGUACGUGGCUGGGUGCCUACGCCAUGUGAAGCUCCUUCGACGAGUCGAGUUGUUUGGGAAUGCAGCUCUAAACGGGAGGUAGAUUUCUUCUAAAGCUAAAUACCGGCGAGAGACCGAUAGCGCACAAGUA
Molecule: ribosomal RNA, 313 nt
Filed under: uncultured Umbilicaria
Lineage: Eukaryota; Fungi; Ascomycota; Lecanoromycetes; Umbilicariales; Umbilicariaceae
Description: partial large subunit ribosomal RNA
Rfam family: Eukaryotic large subunit ribosomal RNA
Source: RNAcentral